Molecule: ribosomal RNA, 250 nt
Filed under: uncultured bacterium
Lineage: Bacteria
Description: partial 16S ribosomal RNA
Rfam family: Bacterial small subunit ribosomal RNA
Source: RNAcentral
GGGGGAAUCUUGCGCAAUGGGCGAAAGCCUGACGCAGCGACGCCGCGUGAGCGAUGAAGGCCCUCGGGUCGUAAAGCUCUGUGGGGAGGAAAGAAUAAGGGUAGGUUAAUAUCCUGCCUGAUGACGGUACCUCCUUAGCAAGCACCGGCUAACUCUGUGCCAGCAGCCGCGGUAAUACAGAGGGUGCGAACGUUGUUCGGAAUCACUGGGCGUAAAGCGGGUGUAGGCGGCUUGGCAAGUCGGGUGUGAA